UUUUAUAUAGUUUAAAUAAAACAAUACAUUUUCAUUGUAUAAAUAAUUUAUAUUUUUAAUUUAUAAAUU
This 69-nucleotide transfer RNA is filed under the name Athripsodes aterrimus. Its description in RNAcentral is "tRNA-Glu". Lineage: Eukaryota; Metazoa; Arthropoda; Insecta; Trichoptera; Leptoceridae. The record is from RNAcentral.